RNAcentral lists this ribosomal RNA (1351 nucleotides) under metagenome. RNAcentral describes it as "bacterial LSU rRNA". It matches the Rfam family "Bacterial large subunit ribosomal RNA", at positions 1566 to 2925 of the family's 2925-position model. The record is from RNAcentral.
UACGUCCACACCUUUUAGGUGUGGAUCAGUUGACUGUCAUACUUCCAAGAAAAGCUCGAACUACUGUAAAGCAUCACGUACCUGUACCGUAAACCGACACAGGUGGGUUGGUAGAGUAUACCAAGGGGCGCGAGAUAACUCUCUCUAAGGAACUCGGCAAAAUGACCCCGUAACUUCGGGAGAAGGGGUGCCAAGUAACUCAAAUUGCUUGGUCGCAGUGACCAGGCCCUGGCGACUGUUUAUCAAAAACACAGGUCUCCGCAAAGUCGUAAGACAACAUAUGGGGGCUGACGCCUGCCCAGUGCCGGAAGGUUAAAGAAGUUGGUUAUUCACUCGUGGAGAAGCUGACGACUGAAGCCCCGGUGAACGGCGGCCGUAACAAUAACGGUCCUAAGGUAGCGAAAUUCCUUGUCGGGCAAGUUCCGACCCGCACGAAAGGCGUAACGAUCAGGGCACUGUCUCGGAGAGAGACUCGGUGAAAUAGACAUGUCUGUGAAGAUGCGGACUACCUGCACCUGGACAGAAAGACCCUAUGAAGCUUGACUGUAGCCUGGAAUUGGGUUCGGGCUCUUCUUGCGCAGCCUAGGUGGGAGGCGUUGAAGGCUUUCAUUUGGGGAAGCUGGAGCCAUCAGUGAGAGACCACUCUGGAGGAGCUAGAAUUCUAAUGGCGUUCCUUGAAGCAGGACGCUUGACAGUUUCAGGUGGGCAGUUUGACUGGGGCGGUCACCUCCUAAAAGGUAACGGAGGUGUGCAAAGGUUCCCUCAGGCUGGACGGAAAUCAGCCGUAGAGUGUAAAGGCAGAAGGGAGCUUGACUGCAAGACCUACAAGUCGAGCAGGGGCGAAAGCCGGCCUUAGUGAUCCGACGGUUCCAUGUGGAAGGGCCGUCGCUCAACGGAUAAAAGUUACUCUAAGGAUAACAGGCUGAUCUUCCCCAAGAGUUCACAUCGACGGGAAGGUUUGGCACCUCGAUGUCGGCUCAUCGCAACCUGGGGCGGUAGUACGUCCCAAGGGUUGGGCUGUUCGCCCAUGAAAGCGGUACGUGAGCUGGGUUCAGAACGUCGUGAGACAGUUCGGUCCAUAUCCGGUGUAGGCGUUAGAGCAUUGAGAGGAGUCUUCCAUAGUACGAGAGGACCUGGAAGAACGCACCUCUGGUAUACCAGUUAUCAUGCCAAUGGUAGACGCUGGGUAGCCAUGUGUGGAGUGGAUAACCGCUGAAAGCAUCUAAGUGGGAAGCCCACCUCAAGAUGAGUGCUCUCCAUUAGGUCACAGGAAGACAACCUGUUUGAUAGGCAGAAGGUGUAAGGCUAGUAAUAGUUUCAGCUGAUCUGUACUAAUAGACCGAUUGAUUUU